GAUGAAGAACGUAGCGAAAUGCGAUACUUGGUGUGAAUUGCAGAAUCCCGUGAACCAUCGAGUCUUUGAACGCAAGUUGCGCCUCAAGCCAUUAGGUUGAGGGCACGUCUGCCUGGGCGUCACAUAUCGUUGCCUGAUGCCAGUUUCCUCGUGAUGGGUGACUGUGCAGGGCGAAUGAUGGCUUCCCGUGAGCAUUGUUGCCUCAUGGUUGGUUGAAAAUUGAGUCCUUGGUAGGGAGCGCCGUGAUAGAUGGUGGUUGAGUGACGAACGAGACCCAAUCAUGUGAGACCCCUACCGAAUUUGGCCUUCAUGACCCACAUGCGUCUAUGGAACGCUCAUGACGAGACCUCAGGUCAGGCGGGGCUACCCGCUGAGUUUAAGCAUAUCAAUAAGCGGAGGA
RNAcentral lists this unclassified non-coding RNA (400 nucleotides) under soil metagenome. RNAcentral describes it as "partial contains 5.8S ribosomal RNA, internal transcribed spacer 2, and large subunit ribosomal RNA". The stretch from base 1 to 122 matches the Rfam family "5.8S ribosomal RNA", at positions 35 to 154 of the family's 154-position model. The record is from RNAcentral.